CGCGUAGGCAAUCUGCCCUCAGAUGGGGAAUAACCUCGGGAAACCGAGGCUAAUACCACAUAAUGUCGGAGGACCGCAUGGUCCUCCGAUCAAAGGCUUCGGCCGUCUGAGGAUGAGCCUGCGUCGGAUUAGCUAGUUGGUGGGGUAAUGGCCCACCAAGGCAACGAUCCGUAGCGGGUCUGAGAGGAUGAUCCGCCACACUGGCACUGAGACACGGGCCAGACUCCUACGGGAGCAGCAGUGAGGAAUAUUGCGCAAUGGACGAAAGUCUGACGCAGCCACGCCGCGUGCAGGAAGACA
RNAcentral lists this ribosomal RNA (300 nucleotides) under uncultured Rubricoccus sp. RNAcentral's name for it is "bacterial SSU rRNA". It matches the Rfam family "Bacterial small subunit ribosomal RNA", at positions 114 to 413 of the family's 1533-position model. The record is from RNAcentral. Lineage: Bacteria; Pseudomonadati; Rhodothermota; Rhodothermia; Rhodothermales; Rubricoccaceae.